GGCAAGAAGGAGCGAAGCAAGGUGCCUGUACGGCAGGCUCCGGCAGGGAGAGACGGUCUCGAUUUGUCUCUUUUUCAUCUGCGACUCCUCUUCAUCCCCCGGUCCGCCUCUCCCCCCCAUCAAGAAAGGGCGGGGGAAAGGCGGCUACAGGAGUGUCACAGGAAUGUCAAAGUGAAAUACAACUCAAUCUGUGUCGACAGAGGAUUCCGUUUAAUUAAACAGACAGCAUUUGAUCAUCGUACUCCCACCAUAGGGGCCUAAUCGCUGUACACUGCUUUAACCAGCCACAAACCCACCGGAUGAUAAAACUGAGCAGAAAAUGGGCAGGACGUUUGAAAGUGUUAUGCUGGGUUCACAUAGAAAGGGAACCACAAGUUUUGACGGUGAAUAAAAUGAACAUGCGAUCCGACUAUAAAAGGGGAGGGCCUCAUUUAAAUCCAUCCAAGCCGAUAACCACUGGGUAAAGGUUUAGGAUUUCAUCUACUGUCCUUUGAGCCUAGGUAUUGCUGGAAUCUUCCAUUGUCUGCCCUCACUGUGUAAACUCCAAAGCUUGUCUCUUUCCCCAACAAAAGUUGGUUCAAUACAAGAUAUUACCGCACCCACUUGUCAUGUACCUUCCGCCUUUAAUGGGAAUGAUGGGGCUUCAUAGCAAUUUACUUUUAUUGAUGUAAGUCAGAUCCCAUUUCCCAGAGGAAAUGAAUGCUCAGAUUACCUUAAAGGCACCAACUAAUUAAUGUUAUGUAAAGAAAAACUAUUUAUUGUACAUUGACAGCGUAUUAAGCGUAUUUUAGAGCCGAGGACCACCGCUAUAGACCACAAUGGGUCCGUGCGUAUUGUCGAAUCUUUGGUUUGUGGAUUAUUGACGACAAAGUUUGGAAGGGCUUCUAAGACACUUGUUGUCCAUUGGGUUACGCAUACCCCCAACUACAAAACAGUCGAUAUAACUCUUCGCUUUCCAAAAAAGAAAAGGAGUACUUGUGGCACCUGCACACAGACAACAAACGCGCGAAUUAAAGAAAUAAUGACUGGGGGGAAAGCAGCCCAAGUGCACUGUGCAGCAAAUGCUUUUCAAGCCCCAAUACCUGUCGUUUCCAAUUAAAAAAAAAAAAAGAAACCUCACCCACCCCCAAUAUACUCCAAUGACCUGCACUUUUCCCUUCUUUUCAAACUGAAAAAUGGCCAAACUAUCUUAAAGUUAAUUUAGGCGAUCAGGCUGGGAGGUGGAGGCGGGUGGUGGUGGUGGUGGGGAAGCACUCCGGGCUGCGAUCGCUGUGUCAAGCUUCAGCCACACCGACAUUUCUGGCAGACUUCCAAAGUCAAAGAAAUUGGAAAAUUGGGACGGGGGGUUGUUCAGGCAAACGGGUCAGACCCCUUGGCAGAGAUGCAGGAGCGAGCGGGCGCUGUACGAAAGGGAUGAAUCAGCCAAGCCAUCUGAGCGGAGCACAGGGCAUCUUCCGCAAUCCAUUCAUUCAGUGAAGCGCGUGAAAAGCUGCCGAUCGCUGCCAUUGUUACUCACAGGCGAUGUGGGAACCGGAGCCUCCACUCUGGCGAGAGAUAAAUAGUCUGUGACAGCGCCUCUUCGCAAAGAGAUCUCAUCGAAUUUCACCAGGCGGACGGUCACAGGUCUGUGUUCCUCUCUUUCAUGUGAGUCCCUUUACAUCGCCAUUCUCUCCCCUCCCGCGCCCUCUCCGUUGUGCCGACCCCCCCCCGAUCUCUUCAUCCCUCCCUUGAAUGUUUUCCGUCGGGGCUGGGAACGCUGUACAGUAUUUGCCUUCGGAGUGCUUGGCGUGCUGGAGUCAGGAUUGAACUAGGAAAUGCGGGGUUAAAAGGCUAACCCGGCACGGAGCCCUU
Molecule: long non-coding RNA, 1851 nt
Organism: Dermochelys coriacea (leatherback sea turtle)
Lineage: Eukaryota; Metazoa; Chordata; Testudines; Dermochelyidae
Exons: 2
Source: RefSeq, a predicted model, not a curated record